AUUGAACGCUGGCGGCAGGCUUAACACAUGCAAGUCGAGCGGGGUGAUGGUGCUUGCACUAUCACUUAGCGGCGGACGGGUGAGUAAUGCUUAGGAAUCUGCCUAUUAGUGGGGGACAACAUCUCGAAAGGGAUGCUAAUACCGCAUACGUCCUACGGGAGAAAGCAGGGGAUCACUUGUGACCUUGCGCUAAUAGAUGAGCCUAAGUCGGAUUAGCUAGUUGGUGGGGUAAAGGCCUACCAAGGCGACGAUCUGUAGCGGGUCUGAGAGGAUGAUCCGCCUCACUGGGACUGAAACACGGCCCAGACUCCUACGGGAGGCAGCAGUGGGGAAUAUUGGACAAUGGGGGGAACCCUGAUCCAGCCAUGCCGCGUGUGUGAAGAAGGCCUUAUGGUUGUAAAGCACUUUAAGCGAGGAGGAGGCUCUUUUGGUUAAUACCCAAGAUGAGUGGACGUUACUCGCAGAAUAAGCACCGGCUGACUCUGUGCCAGCCGCCGCGGUAA
Molecule: ribosomal RNA, 503 nt
Filed under: uncultured bacterium
Lineage: Bacteria
Description: partial 16S ribosomal RNA
Rfam family: Bacterial small subunit ribosomal RNA
Source: RNAcentral